GAUGAACGCUGGCGGCGUGCCUAAUACAUGCAAGUCGAGCGAACAGACGAGGAGCUUGCUCCUCUGACGUUAGCGGCGGACGGGGGAGUAACACGUGGAUAACCUACCUAUAAGACUGGGAUAACUUCGGGAAACCGGAGCUAAUACCGGAGAAUAUAUUGAACCGCAUGGUUCAAUAGUGAAAGACGGUUUUGCUGUCACUUAUAGAUGGAUCCGCGCCGCAUUAGCUAGUUGGUAAGGUAACGGCUUACCAAGGCGACGACGCGUAGCCGACCUGAGAGGGUGAUCGGCCACACUGGAACUGCGACACGGUCCAGACUCCUACGGGAGGCAGCAGUAGGGAAUCUUCCGCAAUGGGCGAAAGCCUGACGGAGCAACGCCGCGUGAGUGAUGAAGGUCUUCGGCUCGUAAAACUCUGUUAUUAGGGAAGAACAAAUGUGUAAGUAACUAUGCACGUCUUGACGGUACCUAAUCAGAAAGCCACGGCUAACUACGUG
RNAcentral lists this ribosomal RNA (497 nucleotides) under uncultured bacterium. RNAcentral describes it as "partial 16S ribosomal RNA". It matches the Rfam family "Bacterial small subunit ribosomal RNA", at positions 28 to 507 of the family's 1533-position model. The record is from RNAcentral.